RNAcentral lists this ribosomal RNA (253 nucleotides) under uncultured bacterium. RNAcentral's name for it is "partial 16S ribosomal RNA". It matches the Rfam family "Bacterial small subunit ribosomal RNA", at positions 524 to 776 of the family's 1533-position model. The record is from RNAcentral.
UACGUAGGGGGCAAGCGUUGUCCGGAAUCAUUGGGCGUAAAGAGCGUGUAGGCGGCCUGGUAAGUCCGCUGUGAAAGUCCAGGGCUCAACCCUGGAAAGCCGGUGGAUACUGUCGGGCUAGAGUCCGGAAGAGGCAAGUGGAAUUCCUGGUGUAGCGGUGAAAUGCGCAGAUAUCAGGAGGAACACCGAUGGCGAAGGCAGCUUGCUGGGACGGUACUGACGCUGAGACGCGAAAGCGUGGGGAGCAAACAGG